CAAGCAGUAGGCUGUAUAUAGAUGUUUAUUUUUUAUAUUUACUAUCAUUGUUGACUGUAUCCUUGUAGGGAAAUCUCUCAGAAUUAGACAAGAGAUGCAUGUAUGUGUGUAAACAGAGGAACAAACCAAAACAGCAGACUUACUGCUUGAGGUAAAUGAAUCACAGCAAUUGCUCCACUGAUUCAUGGUAUGAUUACCUACAUGUAUCACGCAGUAGGCAACUGUGGACAUGCUGGUGUUCAUGUAGACUGCUGCGCUGCUGUGAGUCACACUGCAAUAUGAAAAGGUGUGUAAGGUCAUGAAGAUGAAAAGCAUAUUCUUGUUUGAUGCAUACUUUGUACAAGUAAAAGGAGAUUCUCCUCUUCAUCUUUAUAACUAUCUGAAAAUAUCUUGCAUUUUGCCAUGCUGCUGUAAUUGCAGCAAUUGUCUGAUAAUAGAUUCAAUUAUCUCCACUUCUCGUUACCGUUGUCUGCAUGCAUAGCCAUGAGCGGACUUAUAGCCAUAUCUGGCAGAAGUACCCCACUGCUUAUGGAAGGGGAGGCAAAAGAAAGGAAGAACCUGAACAGCUGUCAGUCUGGUAAUGACUUUGUUGUGCCAAAGAUGUAAACUUCAAGGAAAAACAGGAAUUGCUUACUUACCUAAGCUAUGAUCAAACCACAUGUGAAUUUUCCCACUCAUCACCCAAUGAUAAGCCAGUUAUAAGCCAAAGGUGAAUAGAUUUAUGUGAGGAAAAUGACUUACUUCUUUGACAAUAGUAAU
RNAcentral lists this long non-coding RNA (759 nucleotides) under Anas platyrhynchos platyrhynchos (common mallard). Its description in RNAcentral is "lncRNA (ENSAPLG00000024253.1)". Lineage: Eukaryota; Metazoa; Chordata; Aves; Anseriformes; Anatidae. The record is from RNAcentral.